CAGGGUCGUGGGGAACCUGGAGCCUAUCCCAGGAAGCCAAGGGACACCCUGAACGGGGUUCCAAUCCAUUGCAGGGCUCAAUCACACACUGAUUCACACUUUCAUUCAUACACUAUGGACACUUUGGACAUGUCUGCCAUGGAUGUCUUUGGACCGGGGGAGUAGGCAGGAGUCUCAGACUGCAGAGUUGUGGCCCUUCCAUGACCAAAAUUUGACAACUUUGAGAAUCCUGACCAGCUGUCUCACUGUGUGGUGAGGGACCUGCACAGCCUCCGACCGUAAGACCCUUCAGUGAAUUGUGAGGAUACCUCGAUACGUCAUAUAACAACCACUGCAUCCUCAAAAAGCCACCAGUAUUGCAGACGACCCUUCUCACCCCACUCAUGGAGUCUUCACCCUACUGCCAUGGCAGAUGGCACAGGAGCAUCCGUGCCACCACCAGCACACUCCGCAACAGUUUCUUCCCUGGGGCAGAUUACUCAACACCCUCCUGCCUCCCAACGCUCACCUCGGCUAGUCAAACAUCUAACCCAGAAUGACUCAGUACCACUGCACAUGCACUUUACAAAGAUGCAUCAGUCACUUUUUUGCUGCCGAUAUUGCUGCCUUACUUGUGCUGUUACAUUACACAAUAGUUUACAGUUCACAGCCCAUGUUCUCUGUACUUAUUGUCCUGUGUAUGUAUCGUCUUGCGCUCAUUUCAUGCUGUUGCACCAUGGUCCCGAGGAAAUGACGUUUCGUUACAAUGUAUACAAACUAUAUAGAGGAAUGACAAUAAAAACC
Molecule: long non-coding RNA, 783 nt
Organism: Ictalurus punctatus (channel catfish)
Lineage: Eukaryota; Metazoa; Chordata; Actinopteri; Siluriformes; Ictaluridae
Source: Ensembl